RNAcentral lists this ribosomal RNA (259 nucleotides) under uncultured bacterium. Its description in RNAcentral is "partial 16S ribosomal RNA". It matches the Rfam family "Bacterial small subunit ribosomal RNA", at positions 524 to 777 of the family's 1533-position model. The record is from RNAcentral.
GACGAACCGUGCGAACGUUAUUCGGAAUCAUUGGGCUUAAAGGGCGCGUAGGCGGCGGCGUAAGUUGGAAGUGAAAUCCCAUCGGCUCAACCGUGGAAUCGCUCCCAAGUACUGCGCUGCUCGAGGGGGAUAGGGGUCUGCGGAACUACCGGUGGAGCGGUGAAAUGUGUUGAUAUCGGUGGGAACGCCAGUGGCGAAAGCGGACAGACUGGACCCUUCCUGACGCUGAGUGCGCGAAAAGCUAGGGGAGCAAACGGGG